Molecule: long non-coding RNA, 1010 nt
Filed under: Coturnix japonica (Japanese quail)
Lineage: Eukaryota; Metazoa; Chordata; Aves; Galliformes; Phasianidae
Description: lncRNA (ENSCJPG00005003024.1)
Source: RNAcentral
GUUAAAACAAGUAGAGAGGAAAGGUGAGCUCAGGACAGCCACAGGUAAGAUUAAUCUUACCUCACUGCAAUGAAAGGCUUUGAAAUAAACUUUGAAGGAAUGAGCAAUUAUCGCUAUGGAAGCAAUAGAAGAUGAGAUAACAUUACCCCAAGUCAACCAUGCCAGCCUAACCUGUUAGCUUUCUUUGAUAGGAGAGUUGAUCUUCCAGAUAAGAUGUACAGCUUGUACCCACCUUGAUUCCCAGAGCAGUUGAUAAAGUGCCAUACAGGAAAUUAUGCAUUAAGGUGGGAAUUAGUAGGAGUGUUUUGAUGGGGUAAGGAACUGUGAGCAGCGAGGAAGGCACUGGCAUUGGGAGAAAGGGAGCUCUUCCUGCAGGAGGAAGGUGGAAAAUGGCUGUGGAGAGGGAGAGCUUGGAUGUCCUAGUGGAACAUGAAUGGCAGGAGAGGAAGAGGAUCAAAUUCAGUUGCUCUGAGCUCACAGAGUAACAGUGGAGUUUCGGCUAUGAAACAGGUCACGGACACUUGGGAAUGACUGGGAAGCCCUCAGUGCUUCAUGCAAGUGCAGGAGGUCUCAGACUAACCAACAUGGCAUGGUGCUGAUGGUGUGUUUACUCUAAGGAUGUAAGGGGUGAGUAUGUGUAGACAUGAGGAAGGAUGAUGGCUUUGAAGGCACAGAAGCUGGUGAGACUUCUUCUGGGACACCCUGCUCAUUCUGGUUCCAUAUGUGAAAGGAAGAUGAAUGUAGGAGGUGGCAAUGAGAGAGGAUCUCACUUUCAAGAGGCUGAUGUGGUCACCAAAGGGAGCAGUCCUGACAUUGAAGAAACCCUAGCAAUACCUGCUUCUCCUGCACACCGGACCCACCUUCCUCCCCUGAAUACACUAACAUAUGGCCACGUGAAGUUGGUCAAGAUGCCAUCUGUGCCACUGGAGGCCAAUAUACCGGGAUUUACUGGGCAGAUAAUACAAGGCAAGGAAGGUGGCUCUGGGAAAAAAUGUACAGCUUUUUUGUAG